UAGGGAAUCUUCGGCAAUGGACGAAAGUCUGACCGAGCAGCGCCGCGUGAGUGAAGAAGGUUUUCGGAUCGUAAAACUCUGUUGUUAGAGAAGAACAAGGACGUUAGUAACUGAACGUCCCCUGACGGUAUCUAACCAGAAAGCCACGGCUAACUACGUGCCAGCAGCCGCGGUAAUACGUAGGUGGCAAGCGUUGUCCGGAUUUAUUGGGCGUAAAGCGAGCGCAGGCGGUUUCUUAAGUCUGAUGUGAAAGCCCCCGGCUCAACCGGGGAGGGUCAUUGGAAACUGGGAGACUAGAGUGCAGAAGAGGAGAGUGGAAUUCCAUGUGUAGCGGUGAAAUGCGUAGAUAUAUGGAGGAACACCAGUGGCGAAGGCGGCUCUCUGGUCUGUAACUGACGCUGAGGCUCGAAAGCGUGGGGAGCAAACAGG
This 429-nucleotide ribosomal RNA is filed under the name Gemmatimonadota bacterium. RNAcentral's name for it is "Gemmatimonadetes bacterium partial 16S ribosomal RNA". It matches the Rfam family "Bacterial small subunit ribosomal RNA", at positions 355 to 776 of the family's 1533-position model. The record is from RNAcentral. Lineage: Bacteria; Pseudomonadati; Gemmatimonadota.